UUGAACCAAAAACAAACGUAGCAGAAGUUACAAAAUCGAGGAUAUCAUUUAUGCUUGAUUGAUUACAGUGGUUAUCAGUACAUGACAGGUUGUAUAGGUCAGCACAGCUAUUGAUAAUAUGUUACCAUCAUAUAUCGAUGAAUUCAUCCACUAUCGAAAUAGUACUCAUAAUUAUGAAACAAGGAAAAUCAAUGACUUUCAUCUACCAAGAUACCAGUCCACAAACAUGAGCAAUUUCAAGAAAGUAAUUCACAGUAAAGGUCGAGAAAACAUCUAUAAUUGUUAUAAGUUUGAGCUAACCGAGAAAGAUCGACAAGCUCUAACAAUUCCUAUAAGCAAUCUUCAAGAGAGAGAUACAAUAAAAACUACUAAACCAAUCUUCAACUCAGCCAGUGUGAACUUUGGACUAUUGCAAUUCGAUUAAAUAAUAAUAUCGUCUUAAUUAUCUUCUAAUAAAUUUAAAGCAAAUUAAUCAGGUACAGUUUACUUAUUAUACGAAGAUAAAAGGCAAAGUUCAAUUUACAUGAUGACAAGUCAUCAUUAAAAUGAAUAGUUGAAUCAAAAUUUUCAGUUUCCACUUGAAUAAUUUUGUGAUUUUUACUGUAUAAGCGACACACAGAUAUUUUCAAAGUCAUACUGUACCUAUCGAACCUCCUUUACAAGAGAAAAUCUACAGUAGUUUUUGAUUUUUAUACCUGCAAAUUUUAACGAAAUUUGACGAGGUAUUUUGAAAGUUUUCUUCUUGCACUUGAAACAAGUAAGUAAAUUUUUCAUCACAAACGAAUAUCUCCCUAAAUGAACUAAACCGAUCAUGUUUAUUACUUAUUACUUUCUGGUCGAUGAAUAUAACAAAUAAUUGAAAAAACAUGAAAAUGUUCAGUGAUAGACUUGUGAUUGAACGUUUCUUGAUGAAUUUCGUUCAUUAUUUGAAAGUCCAACCAUAACUUGUGUUGAACAAAAAAAGUCCCUUCCUUUUGACUAUUGAAUUUAUUAAAUGUCAUUUUACACAUUAAAAUGGAUCUUUAUAAGUGUAUAAUGAAAAAUGUACUAUGAAGCAAAUAAAUAGCAUAUUCACUA
Long non-coding RNA from Leptinotarsa decemlineata (Colorado potato beetle), 1077 nucleotides. The record is from RefSeq and is a predicted model, not a curated record. Lineage: Eukaryota; Metazoa; Arthropoda; Insecta; Coleoptera; Chrysomelidae.